RNAcentral lists this ribosomal RNA (775 nucleotides) under uncultured Neocallimastigales. RNAcentral's name for it is "partial large subunit ribosomal RNA". It matches the Rfam family "Eukaryotic large subunit ribosomal RNA", at positions 23 to 616 of the family's 3401-position model. Lineage: Eukaryota; Fungi; Neocallimastigomycota; Neocallimastigomycetes; Neocallimastigales. The record is from RNAcentral.
AGAGAGAGACAUGCGCGCAUAUCAAUAAGCGGAGGAAAAGAAACUAACAAGGAUUCCCCUAGUAACGGCGAGUGAAGCGGGAAGAGCUCAAAUUUGAAAUCUUAAAGGGUUUCCCUUUACGAAUUGUAGUUUAAAGAAGUGUUUUCUGUUGAGGUUUUGGUAAAAGUUCUUUGGAAUAGGACAUCAUAGAGGGUGAGAAUCCCGUAUUUGACCUUUACUUUCCAACUUUGUGAUACACUUUCAAAGAGUCGGAUUGCUUGGGAAUGCAGUCCAAAAUGGGUGGUAAAUUUCAUCUAAAGCUAAAUAUUGGCGAGAGACCGAUAGCGAACAAGUACCGUGAGGGAAAGAUGAAAAGAACUUUGAAAAGAGAGUUAAACAGUACGUGAAAUUGUCAAAAGGGAAGCGUUUGACACCAGUGUUGUUUUUCUGAAAAUCAAUUAAAGAGCUGUUUAUGCUAAGUUGUUUAGACUUUAUCAGCUAUCUGUUUAGUUUUGAGCUUUUCUUUAAUGCACUUUUCAGUUAACAAGUCAACAUCAAUUUCUUUUGCUGUAAAAAAGCUUGAGGAAGGUGGCUUGAGAUUCGUCUUAAGUGUUUAUAGCCUCUUGCCUAUGCAGUCGGAGAGAUUGAGGUCUGCAGCGUAGAUCCUUCGGGGCUAAAUGCAUUUGUGCUAAGUUAUAGCAUUUUAUAGACAACUUGUUGACUAUGAUUUGUCUUGUAGCUUACUCGCUUAUGUUAUUUUACCUACGCUUAGGAUGUUGAGCGCAUGUCUCUCUCU